This 225-nucleotide ribosomal RNA is filed under the name uncultured bacterium. Its description in RNAcentral is "partial 16S ribosomal RNA". It matches the Rfam family "Bacterial small subunit ribosomal RNA", at positions 111 to 334 of the family's 1533-position model. The record is from RNAcentral.
UAACGCGUAAUCAACCUGCCCUUCAGAGGGGGACAACAGUUGGAAACGACUGCUAAUACCGCAUAAGCCCACAGCUCGGCAUCGAGCAGAGGGAAAAGGAGUGAUCCGCUUUGAGAUGGCCUCGCGUCCGAUUAGCUAGUUGGUGAGGUAAUGGCCCACCAAGGCGACGAUCGGUAGCCGGACUGAGAGGUUGAACGGCCACAUUGGGACUGAGACACGGCCCAG